GCCGCAGACAAUGUGCUAAGGUGGCAUAAUAAUUUGCCUUCUAAUUUAAGGAUAGAAUGAAAGGAAAUACGACUUUAAUAAUGUACAUAUUAUAUUCAAAAUAUAAACUUAACCUAAAAAUAAAAAGAUUUUUAUAAAAUAGAAAGACAACAAGACCCUGUCGAACUUAACUAUUUAGUUUAAUUGGGGAGAUUAAAAAUCAAAACUUUAAAAUUAAAUCCUAAUAAAGAUCCUAUUUAAUUGAUUUAUAAAACAAGUUACCGCAGGGAUAACAGCGUAAUUAGUAACAAAAGUACUUAUUAAAUUACUAGAUUACGACCUCGAUGUUGAAUUAAUGUUUCUUUUUCACGCAAUAGUAAAAAAAGUAGGUCUGUUCGACCUUUAAUACAUUACAUGAUUUGAGUUCAGACCGGUGCAAGCCAGGUCAGUUUCUAUCUUCUCACAUCUAUAUAACAGUACGAAAGGACCUUAUAUUCAAUA
Molecule: ribosomal RNA, 480 nt
Filed under: Loxosceles aff. spinulosa GJB-2008
Lineage: Eukaryota; Metazoa; Arthropoda; Arachnida; Araneae; Sicariidae
Description: partial 16S ribosomal RNA
Rfam family: Bacterial large subunit ribosomal RNA (bases 141-440)
Source: RNAcentral